This 222-nucleotide long non-coding RNA is filed under the name Elaeis guineensis (African oil palm). RNAcentral's name for it is "long non-coding RNA (EGUI_LNC019016)". The record is from RNAcentral. Lineage: Eukaryota; Viridiplantae; Streptophyta; Magnoliopsida; Arecales; Arecaceae.
UUUUGUUUUCAUAUCUUUUCUCCCUCCAUCUUGAGUUUCCUGAGAGUGUCUCAGAUCUGAAACUCCUCCUUCUACUUUCCAUCUUUGGAAGAGUCCAAAUCAAGAAGAAGGAGGCACCGAUCAACUAUUAAAGAAGGAUCAGCGCAGUACUAGCAUACUGUGCUGAUUUCCUGAAGCAGGACUUCUGAUCAAGAUUUGUGGGCUCGUGUGGAUGACUCCUAG